AUAGUUCAUCUUUUUUUAAGAUCUCUUUGAAGACGAACAACAGGGCAUUAGCUGGUGCUCUGCAGGCCCAGAGAGAGAAGAGCAACAACCUGCAGAUGGAAAUUAUUGGCCUCCUGAAACAAGUGGAUGCUCUGUUAUUUGAAAGGGCUUCCAUGAGAUACAAGCAUAAGCAGUUGGUUCUUAUGGUAAAGGAACUCCGUAGCACCACCAUGCAUCAGUUAUGCAGUAUGGCUGACAUCCUAUCCUCAGAAGACGUGAAUAUACCUUAUAAUAUAGUUUAAUAUUAAUUGUGUUUAACAUGCUGUACUAUUUGUGUCAGAAUAGGAUGUUUCGGUGUUCAACUAUGGUUUAUUUAUUUUUAUUAGGAUGACUGUAACAACCAACAAGACGAUGCAGAUGGUGGUGAUGUUGAGAAUAAAAGUCUAUUACCCUGCCAACCGCAACCCUUAACUGAGGCACAUCACUCACCAAUCAAAACACUGGUAGAUUUGACUAAUACUAUCGGUGGUGUACAAGGCCAGCCAUCAAACGAUAUGAGUGAGUAAAUAAUGCACAUUUAACAAUAACCUAUUUUAAAUAAAAGAAUACAAUAAUAAUACACAUCAUUUCCUGAUAACCCACACCCAUCGUUAUUCAUCGUUGUGUAUUUUCCAAAUGUAUCUACUGCACAGAAAUCGAUAAAGAGGGGGAAAAUACUUCUGAUGAAGCUGUGCAGUUGGCCCGAUGGAGAACAACCAGUCAAACCAGUAGCUUGAGGGAGGAUGUGGAACAGUAUUCCAGGACUCAGCCCGGACGGGACAGUCACUCUAUGCUGCCUUCAUGCCCUCAAAACAGUCACACCCCUGCAGCUGUUGUUGCAUCUGAAAACAAACGAUUGAGCGUUUCUGUCGAUCUUCAGAAAAGCUCAGCCCAGGAGUUGACCACCGCCUCCAACAACAACAACACCACCACCACCUCCAACAACGAUAACGACCACAGAGGUGGACAGGAGGUGACUUUGCUCCUGAACACCACCAUGGAGAUGACCGUGAGGGAUGCCACUGAAAUAAUCAUCGUCGACACCAAGAAGAAAUCCCGAAACACAAACGAGCCUAAGAUUAAAGACCAAGCCGCACCAGUGGUAAAGGCAAAGAAGGAAAAGAAAAGAAACAAGAAACCAGGGAGGCCAGAAGACAGAGACUCUACAGAGUGCGGGUUAGUAGAAACCCAACAUGUGCACACUGCUGCUCUGCCACUAUCAGAGGAUCGUACAGAAGAGGCCUCUGGUACACAUAAGGUUGUGUCUCGCAUCCCCAGAUUUGGCAAGGCUAAAGCUUGUGACGGACCGAACACGAUACAGAAGAAACCUCAGAGUUACCCGAGUAUUGCCUUACCUGAGUAUAGCGGCUGUGACGUCGUAGAGCCUGACAGACACGUCCCCACAGUCAGGGAAGAUGCAAGAUGGUCACCCAAUCAUGUUUUUUCAGAGGACGGAAACGCUAAAAAGAAAUUAAGAAGGACUAAUGUCGCUUCAAAUCCACCAAGAGUAAUCAAAAGGAAAACCCCUAUCCCAUUAAUGAACCUCUCUAAUGCUGAAACACAAAGAACAUCUAAUGGCAAAACUACAGAGGAAGUAGACACCGCCUAUAGUGAUGCAUUCAGCGGCCAACUGCUGGAGAGUCAACAACUUCCUGUGGCCUCUAAUGACAACACACCUUUUGAGCUUGGGGGCGGGGACUUGGGUUUUCCAGAGGCUGGUUACCCUGAGAGCAAGGAUCUUAACUUUAACAGAGAACUCAGGAAGACUUUUGUGGUGACGAGGGAUGGGUCCCCGUGGGAAAACUUCUCACCAGAUAUCAGUACUGGAGCCAGCAUCCUGACGCCAUCUUCAGCAUCUCCGCGUGGGUCAGAAGGACAACAAGAUGCCUCAGUUGCAAGUUCACCGAGGCAGGUUUCGGAAGCCACUCUGCACAGGUUCUCCGGUCCUAAUUACUGUGACAAGGUAGAUGUUUCGGAUCAGACCCAUUUGCCACGCAAGCGUCCCUACGAGGAAGUUCAGGGGCACGAGGCCACCUGUUCCAAUGGGAUAAGAGCAGCAUGGAGUGAGCAAUCAGCAUGUCCUUUCAACGUCAGAAAGAAGAAAGUAGAGAAGAGUAGGCACCAACAGAGCUACAGCCCUCAAGGGUACGGGCCUCAAGAUCAGGAACUGCCACCUCACCAGGACGACACGCAAACAGGAAAGGUUGUUCUGGACGGUACACACAAAAAGUCAAUUUUGUCUCUCAGAACCAGCAGAGUAGCUGCUGGUACGUACAACGAGGAGUCGCCUCAACACAUCGCUGAGACGGUCGAUGUCUCUCCGGAUACUUGGGUUCCUAAAAGGCUCCCACCACCGUCCCGUUCCAAAAAGAGCAACAGUAAGAAGAUCUUUUCCACUUCCUCCGGCACAACAAGGAAAAACUUUGUGGCCUUCGACAACAAAAGGAUGUCAGAUGUCCUCGCGAGCGACGGGGGGAUGGACCAGUGUCUUACGAGCCUGCUGCUGGAUGAGAGGCCGCCAUGGGAGACCCCAGAUGUCAGCCUCAGGGCUCUGGAUAUGGAGGACCACUAUGUCCCUACUCCCAAGAAAGCCGUCUUGGCCACGGUGACGGGGUUGAAGGAGCCGCCGCCAAAUACAGUCAACACUUUCACAGACAGUGGAGAAGUCGGUGGCCGAACCAGAAGAACAAAGGCAUCUGUGAACUACAAGGAGCCCAGCAUAACAUGCAAAUUGAGGCGCGGAGACCGUCACACGGACACCGGUCUCCUGAUUGCUCCUAUUUAUAAGGAAAAAAAGAAGAAGAAACGGACCAAGAUGGCGAACAAGCAAAGACCAGAAAGCAGUCUUAGUUUAGGUUUUUUAGUAGAUGAAAGUGAAAACCCUGUUUGA
RNAcentral lists this long non-coding RNA (2908 nucleotides) under Gadus morhua (Atlantic cod). RNAcentral describes it as "lncRNA (ENSGMOG00000037184.1)". The record is from RNAcentral. Lineage: Eukaryota; Metazoa; Chordata; Actinopteri; Gadiformes; Gadidae.